AUUGAACGCUGGCGGCAGGCCUAACACAUGCAAGUCGAACGAGUGGCGGACGGGUGAGUAAUGUCUGGGACACUGCCUGAUGGAGGGGGAUAACUGCUGGAAACGGUAGCUAAUACCGCAUACCAUCGGAUGUGCCCAUAUGGGAUUAGCUAGGAGGUGGGGUAACGGCUCACCUAGGCGACGAUCCCUAGCUGGGCUGAGAGGAUGACCAGCCACACUGGAACUGAGACACGGUCCAGACUCCUACGGGAGGCAGCAGUGGGGAAUAUUGCACAAUGGGUGCAAGCCUGAUGCAGCCAGGCCGCGUGUAUGAAGAAGGCCUUCGGGUUGUAAAGUACUUUCAGCGGGGAGGCGUUACCCGCAGAAGAAGCACCGGCUAACUCCGUGCCAGCAGCCGCGGUAAUAC
This 406-nucleotide ribosomal RNA is filed under the name uncultured bacterium. Its description in RNAcentral is "partial 16S ribosomal RNA". It matches the Rfam family "Bacterial small subunit ribosomal RNA", at positions 30 to 526 of the family's 1533-position model. The record is from RNAcentral.